UGGGGAAUUUUGGACAAUGGGCGAAAGCCUGAUCCAGCAAUGCCGCGUGUGUGAAGAAGGCCUUCGGGUUGUAAAGCACUUUUGUCCGGAAAGAAAUCCUUGGCUCUAAUACAGUCGGGGGAUGACGGUACCGGAAGAAUAAGCACCGGCUAACUACGUGCCAGCAGCCGCGGUAAUACGUAGGGUGCAAGCGUUAAUCGGAAUUACUGGGCGUAAAGCGUGCGCAGGCGGUCUGCUAAGACCGAUGUGAAAUCCCCGGGCUCAACCUGGGAACUGCAUUGGUGACUGGCAGGCUAGAGUAUGGCAGAGGGGGGUAGAAUUCCACGUGUAGCAGUGAAACGCGUAGAGAUGUGGAGGAAUACCGAUGGCGAAGGCAGCCCCCUGGGCCAAUACUGACGCUCAUGCACGAAAGCGUGGGGAGCAAACAGGAUUAGAUACCCUGGUAGUCCACGCCCUAAACGAUGUCAACUAGUUGUUGGGGAUUCAUUUCCUUAGUAACGUAGCUAACGCGUGAAGUUGACCGCCUGGGGAGUACGGUCGCAAGAUU
This 547-nucleotide ribosomal RNA is filed under the name uncultured bacterium. RNAcentral describes it as "partial 16S ribosomal RNA". It matches the Rfam family "Bacterial small subunit ribosomal RNA", at positions 355 to 895 of the family's 1533-position model. The record is from RNAcentral.